This 910-nucleotide long non-coding RNA is filed under the name Homo sapiens (human). RNAcentral's name for it is "HSALNT0148591". The record is from RNAcentral. Lineage: Eukaryota; Metazoa; Chordata; Mammalia; Primates; Hominidae.
UGUGAUUAUUAUUUCGAGACAGGGUCUCACUCUGUUGCCCAGGCUGGAGUGCCGUGGUGCGACCACUGUAGCCUCAACCUCCUGGGCUCAAACAAUCCGCCCACCUCAGCCCCUUGAGUAGCUGGGACUACAGACGCAUGCCACUAGUUUUUUUAAUUUUUUUGUAGAGACAGGGUCUCAUUAUGUUGUCCAGGCUGGUCUUGAGUUCCUGGACUCAAGUGAUCCUCCAACCUCAGCCUCCCGAAGUGCUAGGUUUACAGGCAUGAUCAGUGACCUUUGAUGUUACUAUUGUAAUUGUUUUGAGGUGCCACAAAUCGCACCCAUAUAAGACAGCAAACUUAAUCAAUAAGUGUGCAUGUUCCGAUUGCUCAACUGACCAACCGGCUAUUUCCCCAUCUCUCUCCCCUCUUCCGUGGGCCUCCCUACUCCCUGAGACACAAUAACAUUGAAGUUAAGCCAACUAAUAAUCCUACAAUAGCCUCUAAGUGUUCAAGUGAAAGGAAGAGUCGCACGACUCUCACUUUAAAUCAAAAGCUACAAAUGAUUAAGCUUAGUGAGGAACGCAUGUCGAAAGCUGAGAUCGGCCAAAAGCUAUGCCUCUUGUGCCAGUUAGUCAAGUUGUGAAUGCAGGGGAAAAGCUGUUGAAGGAUGUUGAAAGUGUCACUCCAGGGAACAUACAAAUGAUAAGAAAGCAAAACAUCCUUAUUGCUGAUACGGGGAAAGUUUGAGUAGUCUGGAUAGAAGAUCAAACCAGCCACAACAUUCCCUUUAGCCAAAGCCUAAUCCAGACCAAGGCCAUAACUCUUCAAUUCUGUGGAGGCUGAGAGAGGUGAGGUUAUCUAUAGAAGAAAACUUGGAAGCUAACAGAGGCUGGUUCAUCAGAUUGAAGGAAAGAAGCCAGCUCUAUAAC